GAAAAGACAGGGAGUGUAAAGGGUAUGAAAACAGAUCUACGUGUUAAAAAAAGUUUCAGAGAUGGGUGGAGACUCAAUGCUGCAAAACCGUUAAACAGACAAAAUGCCAUAGCUGCAUUCAGACCCAUGCAAAGUGAUCCAGUUUGACCGGUCAGGUGGCCAUAUCUCAGGAGCUUCUGUUGCAGGCUGGGAGGUGCUGAGUCAUGUACAGUAGGAGGCCACUCUUAUCUCCACUCUCCAGGAGAACUUCUGGCAGUUGGGUGUGGGGUGAAACGGGAACCUUGGAUGAUCUUGGCCUUUUUUUCACAGGACAACUUAUUGUUUGUGUAAGGACAGCGUAAAGUGAUUGAUGGUUGCCGAAGAGAAGGAAUGAAAACGGUUUGGAAGCCUUAAAGUUACCAAAAAAGGAGGAGGGGAGAGUUAAAGGAAGUUGUAAAGGUGUUGACUUUCAGCUGUAAGGAGAAGAGAUGGGAGGCCUGUUUUAUCGGCAAAGGAAACAGAUAUCAGAGGGCCAGCGACUCCAGGAAAAUGGAUCUGGGUUGAGCAAAAACCACGAUUACCACCGGCUCUGCUUUGGAUAGGGCCAUCUGGAGAGGUCUGCUCCAAAAAGAUGCUAAACCAGCUACUCUGGGGCCCAGCUAGGAAACACGUUUUCUGAAAAACCACCCGGUCCCUGGGUGAGGAGUUUGGUUUUCCUCCAGUGCUUUUCUCAAACACCUCCUCCUGCUUCCUCUUCGCUCGAGCUUGCAGAUGCCUCAUUCCUACUCAUUCUGAAAGCUGAGGACGUUUUGCCGUUGCAGGGUGAGGGUGGAAGAGUGCAGCGUCUGUUCCCGGUAGUGUCUGAUUUGACUCUUCAGAAACCCACAGAAAAUAACAAUUCUUGACAACUUCAAGCUGAGAAUCGAUGCAUGUUCUUCCACUUUCAAUGGAUCUUUUAUCCCACAUGGUUUAUAAGAAUUAAACUGAAAGCUUCAUUUUGCCUUACACGUCAUGUUUUGGUGCUGUAAGUCUAGAAAGUGAUGCUGUUUACACACCUCCAGCUUAUAGCCACAUGCUGUGGAGAGGUAAAGAGUAAAUCUAGGGCAGACAUACGGUUUGAUGGUACAGAUACAGAAACAAAUGAGAUAGUGAAAAGAUGUGAAGAUAAAUUAUUGCAAUGGUUAGGGAAAACUCUUUCUACUGAUCAUAUGACAUGCUUCAUUUUCUAAAGCAUGCUUAGUACUUUAGCAUUUUUAUAAAAGGUUUACUUUUAAUGAACCCAUGGCCUUAGCGUUGCUAACAAAAUGUUCUACAAGUUGAGCUAGAGGAGCAUUACAGAAGUAAAAAAGAUACAUACCUGUAUUUAAAAAAAUAAUUUUUUGGCUGAAUGGUUCAAUAAAUAGCCUUUAACAGGUUAUUUGUGGUGAAAAAUGUUCUUUAGAUUAUAAAAAUGUAAAAAGAAAUUGUGCUUUAAAGAACCUUUAUUUUUAAGAGUGUAUAUGACAAUCACUGUAAUGACACUCUUAAAAAUAAUGAUAAAAAAAUGAAAGGUUCUCAAAGGGAUCUUCACAGCGAUGUCACAGAUGAACCAUUUUUGGUAUGUA
Non-coding RNA from Paramisgurnus dabryanus, 1583 nucleotides. Lineage: Eukaryota; Metazoa; Chordata; Actinopteri; Cypriniformes; Cobitidae. The record is from RefSeq and is a predicted model, not a curated record.